RNAcentral lists this ribosomal RNA (432 nucleotides) under uncultured bacterium. Its description in RNAcentral is "partial 16S ribosomal RNA". It matches the Rfam family "Bacterial small subunit ribosomal RNA", at positions 29 to 507 of the family's 1533-position model. The record is from RNAcentral.
ACGAACGCUGGCGGCAUGCCUAACACAUGCAAGUCGCACGAGACCUUCGGGUCUAGUGGCGCACGGGUGCGUAACGCGUGGGAACCUGCCUUUAGGUUCGGAAUAACUCAGAGAAAUUUGAGCUAAUACCGGAUGAUGUUUUCGGACCAAAGAUUUAUCGCCUUUAGAUGGGCCCGCGUUGGAUUAGCUAGUUGGUGGGGUAAAGGCCUACCAAGGCGACGAUCCAUAGCUGGUCUGAGAGGAUGAUCAGCCACACUGGGACUGAGACACGGCCCAGACUCCUACGGGAGGCAGCAGUGGGGAAUAUUGGACAAUGGGCGAAAGCCUGAUCCAGCAAUGCCGCGUGAGUGAUGAAGGCCUUAGGGUUGUAAAGCUCUUUUACCCGAGAUGAUAAUGACAGUAUCGGGAGAAUAAGCUCCGGCUAACUCCGUG